RNAcentral lists this ribosomal RNA (301 nucleotides) under uncultured bacterium. Its description in RNAcentral is "partial 16S ribosomal RNA". It matches the Rfam family "Bacterial small subunit ribosomal RNA", at positions 509 to 807 of the family's 1533-position model. The record is from RNAcentral.
CAGUCGCCGCGGGAAUACGUAGGUGGCAAGCGUCGUCCGGAAUUAUUGGGCGUAAAGGGCUCGCAGGCGGUUUCUUAAGUCUGAUGUGAAAGCCCCCGGCUCAACCGGGGAGGGUCAUUGGAAACUGGGAAACUUGAGUGCAGAAGAGGAGAGUGGAAUUCCACGUGUAGCGGUGAAAUGCGCAGAGAUGUGGAGGAACACCAGUGGCGAAGGCGACUCUCUGGUCUGUAACUGACGCUGAGGAGCGAAAGCGUGGGGAGCGAACAGGAUUAGAUACCCCUGUAGUCCCUGUCUCUUAUAC